RNAcentral lists this ribosomal RNA (254 nucleotides) under uncultured bacterium. RNAcentral describes it as "partial 16S ribosomal RNA". It matches the Rfam family "Bacterial small subunit ribosomal RNA", at positions 524 to 776 of the family's 1533-position model. The record is from RNAcentral.
UACGUAGGGGGCAAGCGUUGUCCGGAUUUAUUGGGCGUAAAGAGCUCGUAGGUGGUUCGGUAAGUCGGAUGUGAAAUCUCCAGGCUCAACCUGGAGGGGUCAUUCGAUACUGCCGUGACUAGAGUUCGGUAGGGGAGUGUGGAAUUCCUGGUGGAGCGGUGAAAUGCGCAGAUAUCAGGAGGAACACCUAUUGCGAAGGCAGCUCGCUGGGACGUAACUGACGCUGAGACGCGAAAGCGUGGGGAGCAAACAGG